AAAAAGAAGAAGGGAUGGAUGUACGGUACCUGGAGAAAUAGGCGGUGGAGAUGUUGUUGCUCCUCGGUACUGAAAUUUUGAAAGGCACUGCAGAAUCCCUACACCAACACGAGAUUACUAUCCCAGCUUUGACACCUGUUACUGCCACCAGUAAUUUCUUUUUUAUCAGCGGAUACUUUUCCAAUGUCAAGGAUGCUUCACGAUUGUUUGGUGCUAGGGAGAUAAAAGAAGCAACAAAACCAACAUAAAUUUGAAGGCAUAAAUACACUAUGACAAUGGCUCUACUUGACUAUGCAAAGAUAUGGAGACAACACUAAAAUUCCUACCUGCCCUCUUCGAAGCUUCUCCAAGGGAAUUCCAACCAUGCCAUCUUGGUUUAAGCAUCCUACAUAAACUUGUGUCUUGGUCCUAGUGGUAGAGAGGCUUCCGGUUCAAAGUGGUUGGCCUACGUCCUCAUCUCCAUUUGGAAAGGAUCAUGACCUAGAAGAAGGAACAUGUUCACCAUUACAAGAAAAGAGUUCCCACAAAAUUGAAGGACAAGGUCAAGGAUUUGAGACAUACUCUCAGCAUGAAGAAACAUAAUCAGGAUGUUAGCACCACACCCAUCUUGGGAUGUCAGGUUGGAUGAUGAUAAAGUUGAAGAAGAUGCUGUUUUCUUUGGAGCCCCAACAUUGAAUCAAAGCUGGCUCCUGAGGGGUUCAAGGAAAACCACCAGACAUAAUCCAAGAGCAAUACAUAAGAAUUUCGGGAAGCAUGUUUUGUCAAUCACUAU
This is a long non-coding RNA of Quercus lobata, 772 nucleotides long. RefSeq lists it as uncharacterized. The transcript has 4 exons. The record is from RefSeq and is a predicted model, not a curated record. NCBI's taxonomy places the organism in Eukaryota, Viridiplantae, Streptophyta, Magnoliopsida, Fagales, Fagaceae.